RNAcentral lists this transfer RNA (17 nucleotides) under Indosylvirana nicobariensis (Nicobar Island frog). RNAcentral's name for it is "partial tRNA-Phe". The record is from RNAcentral. Lineage: Eukaryota; Metazoa; Chordata; Amphibia; Anura; Ranidae.
AAAAGCUCUAAGAAUAU